UCGAGUCUUUGAACGCAAGUUGCGCCCGAAGCCUUCGGGCCGAGGGCACGUCUGCCUGGGUGUCACGCAUCGUAGCCCC
RNAcentral lists this ribosomal RNA (79 nucleotides) under Struthiola striata. RNAcentral's name for it is "partial 5.8S ribosomal RNA". The record is from RNAcentral. Lineage: Eukaryota; Viridiplantae; Streptophyta; Magnoliopsida; Malvales; Thymelaeaceae.